Molecule: long non-coding RNA, 1734 nt
Organism: Bos mutus (wild yak)
Lineage: Eukaryota; Metazoa; Chordata; Mammalia; Artiodactyla; Bovidae
Source: Ensembl
CAGAAAAUAGCCCCCAAAUGAUUAAGGAAGCAUGAGGUCAAAAUGGGAAGUAAAAAACCUGUAAAGACCACCAAUCAGUAACAGUUGUGUGUGUGUGUAUGUCAUCAUUUCAAAUUAUUUGCUUUUCUUAUUUUUUUAUCCAGUAUGAACAUACACAUACACUCAAACAGAACAAAGCAAUAACAAAUAAUAAAAAAAAAUCAGCCAUUGACCACCACCACCACCUUUAUCACCAUCAUCACCACCAUUAUCUCCACCAUCACAUCGUCGUCACCGUCACUAACAUCAUUAUCACCACCAUCAUCACUAUCACACCAUCAUCAUCACCACCAUCACCAUCAUCACCACCAUCAUCAUCACCAUCACUACCACCAUUACCACCAUUAUCAUCCCCAUCAUCCCCAACAUCACCACCAUUAUCUCUACCAUCACUACCAUCACCAUCAUCAUCACCGUCACUACCAUCACUACCACACCAUCAUCAUCACUACCAUCACUACCACACCAUCAUCAUCACCACCAUCAUCACUGUCACCACCACCAUCAUUACCACCACACCAUCAUCAUCACCACCAUCAUCAUCAUCACCACCAUCACCAUUGUCACCACCAUCACCACUGUCACUACCAUCAUUAUAACCACCAUCAUCACUACCACACCAUCGUCAUCACCACCAUUACCAUCAUCACCACCAUCAUCAUUAUCACCGUCACCACUACCAUUACCACCACACUAUCAUCAUCACCACUAUCACCAUCAUCACCACCAUUAUCUCCAUCAUCACCAUCAUCACCCAUCGUCACCACCAUUAUCUCUACUAUCAAUACAUCACCAUCAUCAUCACUGUCACUACCAUCAUUAUCACCACCAUCAUCACCACCAUUAUCUCCAUCAUCACCAUCGUCACCCAUCAUCACCACCAUUAUCUCUACCAUCAAUACCAUCACCAUCAUCAUCACUGUCACUACCAUCAUUAUCACCACCAUCAUCACUACCACACCAUCAUCAUUACCAUCAUCACCAUUGUCACCACCAUCAUCACCACCAUUAUGUCCAUCAUCACCAUCGUCACCACCAUCGUCACCACCAUUAUCUCUACCAUCACUACCACACCAUCAUCAUCACCACCAUCAUCACCACCAUUAUCUCCAUCAUCACCAUCGUCACCACCGUCACCACCAUUAUCUCUACCAUCACUACCACACCAUCAUCAUCACCACCAUCAUCACUGUCACCACCACCAUCAUUACCACCACACCAUCAUCAUCACCACCAUCCUCAUUGUCACCACCAUCACCACCACCAUCAUCAUCACCAGCAUCACCAUCGUCACCACCAUCACUACCACCAUCAUCACCAGCAUCACCGUCAUCAUCACCAUCGUCACCACCAUCAUCAUCACUACUACACCACCAUCAUCACCAUUGCUGCCACCAUAAUCACACCUGAAACUUGGAAGUGUAGCCCAGUGGAGCAUCUGUUGCCAGACAAUGAGGCAUCAAGUCCCCCAAGCAGAUGUCACCUCAUGUCAUUGUGAAGGAAAGAUGUUCACAGAGCAGCAGACUUGCCUGCAUACACAUGACUGAGUUCCAAGCGAGCGGACGGGAAGGGGGCAGCCAGGAAAGCAGCUUGCUUCCCCCUGUCCCCAGUCUAGUGUUUUAUCCAUGAGCACACUGUAGCCCUUCAAUACUUUAUUAAGCAUCUCCUCUCCUGGACACCCCACUACCUUCAGCG